This is a long non-coding RNA of Apus apus (common swift), 178 nucleotides long. RefSeq lists it as uncharacterized. NCBI's taxonomy places the organism in Eukaryota, Metazoa, Chordata, Aves, Apodiformes, Apodidae. The transcript is spliced from 3 exons. The record is from RefSeq and is a predicted model, not a curated record.
UUCCCGGAUCUCCCCUCAUUCCCGGAUCUCCCCUCAUUCCCGGGUACCCCCUCAUUCCCGGAUCUCCCCUCACUCCCAGACCUCCCCUCACUCCCGGACCUCCCCUCACUCCCGGGUGCCCCCUCAGCCGAGGACACGUCCCCGCGCGCCCGCCCCGGGUCCUGAGCCCCACGGGCUG